UACGUAGGGAGCAAGCGUUGUCCGGAAUUACUGGGCGUAAAGGGCGUGUAGGCGGGCUAUUAAGUCAGGUGUGAAAACUCUGGGCUCAACCGAGAGAUGGCACUUGAAACUGGUAGUCUUGAGUGCAGGAGAGGGAAGUGGAAUUCCUAGUGUAGCGGUGAAAUGCGUAGAUAUUAGGAGGAACACCAGUGGCGAAGGCGACUUCCUGGCCUGUAACUGACGCUGAGGCGCGAAAGCGUGGGGAG
This 245-nucleotide ribosomal RNA is filed under the name uncultured Clostridia bacterium. RNAcentral's name for it is "partial 16S ribosomal RNA". It matches the Rfam family "Bacterial small subunit ribosomal RNA", at positions 524 to 768 of the family's 1533-position model. The record is from RNAcentral. Lineage: Bacteria; Bacillati; Bacillota; Clostridia.